RNAcentral lists this ribosomal RNA (499 nucleotides) under uncultured bacterium. RNAcentral describes it as "partial 16S ribosomal RNA". It matches the Rfam family "Bacterial small subunit ribosomal RNA", at positions 29 to 523 of the family's 1533-position model. The record is from RNAcentral.
AACGAACGCUGGCGGCGUGCCUAACACAUGCAAGUCGAACGAGAAAGUCCUUCGGAAUGAGUAAAGUGGCGCACGGGUGAGUAAUACAUGGGAACGUGCCUAUUGGUGGGGUAUAACUGCGGGAAACUGCAGCUAAGACCGCAUAAGGUCCACGGACGAAAGGUGGCAACUUCGUGUUGCUAUCGCCGAUAGAUCGGCCCAUGUCCCAUUAGCUAGUUGGUAGGGUAAUGGCCUACCAAGGCUACGAUGGGUAGCUGGUCUGAGAGGAUGAUCAGCCACACUGGAACUGAGACACGGUUCAGACUCCUACGGGAGGCAGCAGUGGGGAAUUUUGCACAAUGGGGGAAACCCUGAUGCAGCAACGCCGCGUGAGUGAAGAAGGCCCUUGGGUUGUAAAGCUCUUUCGGCCGAGAAAAAGGGUGUGCGUGCUAAUAUCACGCAUAUUUGAUGGUAUCGGAAGAAGAAGCACCUGCUAACUACGUGCCAGCCGCCGCGGUAA